AGCAGCCGCGGUAAUUCCAGCUCCAAUAGCGUAUAUUAAAGUUGUUGCAGUUAAAAAGCUCGUAGUUGAACCUUGGGUCUGGCCGGGCGGUCCGCCCUUCGGGUGAGCACUGUUCCGACGUCGGGCCUAUCCUUCUGGUGAGUCGGCAUGUCCUUUAUUGGGUGCGUCGGGGAACCAGGACCAUUACCUUGAAAAAAUUAGAGUGUUCAAAGCAGGCGUAUGCUCGGAUACAUUAGCAUGGAAUAAUAAAAUAGGACGGCAUGGUUCUAUUUUGUUGGUUUCUGAAUCACCGUAAUGAUUAAUAGGGAUAGUUGGGGGCAUUAGUAUUCAAUUGUCAGAGGUGAAAUUCUUGGAUUUAUUGAAGACUAACUACUGCGAAAGCAUUUGCCAAGGAUGUUUUCAUUAAUCAAGAACGAAAGUUAGGGGAUCGAAGACGAUCAGAUACCGUCGUAGUCUUAACCAUAAACUAUGCCGACUAGGGAUCGGAUGAUGUUAAUUUUUUAAUGACUCAUUCGGCGCCUUACGGGAAACCAAAGUGUUU
Molecule: ribosomal RNA, 541 nt
Filed under: uncultured Glomeromycotina
Lineage: Eukaryota; Fungi; Glomeromycota
Description: SSU rRNA
Rfam family: Eukaryotic small subunit ribosomal RNA
Source: RNAcentral